AGCUAUUAUUUGUCAUCCACAGCAUCAUGAAUGUUCCUGGACGCACCCCCUGGAUACUAGAAUCCUAGUGCCUGUGGGGCUACCUGGACAUGCAUUUUUGUCUGCUUGUGAGCAACUCAUUGUCCACGUGAUGUUAGGACGUCAUUUCAUCACUGGCCCGAUGAUGGAGAUUGCUCCCCACUCCUCAGCAAGGACAGGUUUAUUGCCAAAAGACAGUUCCUUUGAGGCUCAAGCAGCUGCUGUCUUCUGCAGUUGUGGACUCCUGCAGUGUGUCACCACCAGUGUAUGAAUUAAAUAUGAAUGCUGAAGAUAAGGUGAAGAGAUAAAUAACAGUCUAGCUGGAGGAGAUGCACUUAAGCCUGCGCAGUGGAUGUGGUGGGACUCCUUUUUAAUUAGUCACUGUCCGUCAAGUCACUAUCGUGCAAUAACCUGCAGAUGGUUCAGCAGUGGGUGGCAUUAACAUACUCGGCUCUCUCUGGCAUGCAGGUGCCCUGCGCUGUCCUUCCCAUCGUCCCUCUUUGCCAGCAGAUGGCCUUGUUUUUUGUCACUGUCAGGCGAGGUGAGCAAAGCACGCUUGCUGUCAUACAAAACACAUUUGGCUGACUCCCAGUGGGCUUACACAUCUGCCCAGGGUGGGGAGGAAAGACAACUGAGUUCAUUUGAUGUCACUGACUUUUUGCAGAAGUACCAGAUGAAAAAUGUGUCAAGCAGCAGAAUUGAAGCAUCAAAGCUCUUCAGACAAUCUGCCAAUUUGAUUUUUGUUUGCUCUUCUAUGCAGAAUCACAAUCCGAUCACACAAUGUCACUUUCAAGGGAUCUCUGACACUAGUGCAGUAUAGAAAGCCCCCAGGUACUCUGCAUGCAUGUGGACUUGCAUUGUACAAAUAUAUAUAAAGAUGCAGAUGACAUCAAGGUUGCCUGUACUUUAGUAAGACCGAUGAUAUCAUACCACAGUUUCUCAGAAGUUUUGAGAAAGAUAAGACAAUCUAAGUCCUGGAAAAGAAAGAACAGGAAGGUAUGUCAAUGGGAGGGAUACAUAAAGUAAUGUUACUAGUUAAGUCACUUCCUAGAAAACUUACAGGAAAAUCUAGGAAGAUAUAGGAAAUGUUUACAUAGGACUGGAAGGGACCUUCUGUUGCAUGCACUGUCAUAUAAUCCAUGAUACAAACUUAAAACAAAGAAAAAAAAAAAAACACAAAACAAAGGGUCUUCAGUCUUCACCGUGCCUACCAUAUGGCUACUAAAAAAAUUUGCCUUAUUUUCCACUUAAAUAUAUUGAUGGGGAAUUUACUUCCACUUUUAUAAGCCAAUCACAAGCACUGAGA
Long non-coding RNA from Cygnus olor (mute swan), 1324 nucleotides. RefSeq lists it as uncharacterized. The record is from RefSeq and is a predicted model, not a curated record. NCBI's taxonomy places the organism in Eukaryota, Metazoa, Chordata, Aves, Anseriformes, Anatidae. The transcript has 3 exons.